GAUGAAUGACCUGAAAAAAGUCAUGUUAAUUACACUGAAUCAAAUGGAUAUUAAUAAAAAAAAAAAUAUGACGAUAGAGCAGAACAAUUUGCACAAGUAUUAAUCCCAGGUUAGCAGCUACUUAUAUUUUAGAAUAUUGGUUUAAUGUUUAAUCAAGUGAAAUAAGCUGCAUAUACCACCCCCAUGAUCCUCUCAGUUUACAAACUAUUUUAUAUAAUAACAUACAACUCCCUAUUGAUUUUGAAAUUAACGGGAGCCAAUCCAUGUACCGUUGACAACAAUAUAGCAAGUUGUUACUAUUUCAGAACAUACUGACUAUUAAAGGCAGUUCUAAGUAAAAGAACAAAUUAAUAUAGUUUAAGACUAUGCAGAGGUGGUUUAUAAAUGUAAUCAAAACUUCAACCAAAUGACUAGACCCUGGCAGUGCUAAAGUAUGGCAUAAGAAACAAAAUGCAAGGUAAAAUUCAUUUAGGCAAUUUCUGCAACUUCUUCUCCAUAAUAAUACACAAAAACACCAAAACUUUGAAGGAGCAAUGAGGUAAAGUCUGCCAUGUGUUGCCGAAUUCUACCAUCAACUUCAAGCCCCAAUCUUAAGCAAGGGCCUUUAGAUUUAUUUAUUCACAACUAAUCUAUAAAAUUCCUUAGCAUAAUUGCUUUGCAGGUCAACGUUGUUGAAGUAAUACUUCUUUCAAAUUCCUUUUGUCUGUUUUUCUCUUUUUUUUUUCCUUAGAGAGAUGGAGGGAGGUGGGAGUAAUGGGAUGAACCAAGAGAAAACAAUUACUAAUAGGAAUUUCAACAAAAAUAGAAUGCACAAAAGAGAAGCUGCAUUAUGUUUUGCACUCACUUAAAACCUCUUCUCUAAUCAUUUAUUGUUUUGUACCCAGUUAUAUGUCAUAAAAGUUAUGAAUUGAACUGAAAAUUCAGAAGCAAGCACUCAUGCAUACCUAACCUGCUGCAUUCAGGGCCCUCAUGGCCUCACUGAGACUGGCAUAUUUUCUUUUGCGGCAACAGCAAACCUAAUAGCACAGAUUCACUUUCUCGUGGUAGUGCAAUAGGGCAGCCUGCACCAAUCAUGAACAAAUAAGCAUUAAGUUUGUUAACAUGCACACAACACUGGAAAAGAAAACUAUUAUUCUCAAAAGUAGUCAGAACAACCUAUCAUAGACUUACAGUACUGGAUUUAGUGCAUAUUUCUUUAAUUUUUAUACAUGUUGUAAAAUAAAAAUUUGUCUGCAUACCGAACCUGCUUAGUUCUUCCAACCCUGAACACCAACCUUACUGGUAUGAACUAUCCAAAAUUCAAUUUGAGGUUCCAUGAAUUAUUCAAGCUAACAAUUCAAGAUUGAAAGACUUUCCUAGCAUAUUCACAAUAAUUAAUAACUAGUGAACAUUGAGACUUCACCCGUAUAUUAUAUCAGACUGGGGAAAGAAAUAAUGAGGGAAAAUUGCAGUAGAGGUAAAUACUAGUAAAUGCACAUGUAUCAACAAUUUUUGGUCCAAUGGUUGAACCAGAUAAGCAACAAUGUAGCUACAGCAGGGGCAAGAAUAUCCACUGUUAACCAAUUCCUAAUCUUUUUCUUCAUCCAAAUGUUGGAUCAGCACAUAAACCAACGGUCUUAUUCAUCCAGGGAAGGCUACACUUCGUCUGUAUAAAUUAUAUGAUGUCAGGUUACAAGAAGAAGAGUAAGAUAUUGGUAAAUGCAAAACUAAAAUGAUAUGUUAAAAAAGAACCAAAUCAUGCUUUACUUUUUUACAGUUGAUUGCUAUGUUUCAAAUUGUAAAACAAAUGAACUUGAUCAAUGUGCAUCAUAAAAGAAGAAAGUGUUAUAAUCAGAUAAAUCAUGGAGGGAGGUGUACUCUAUUGCUAUGUUCAUUGAACCAUAAGAAUCUAUAAGUGACACAACCUGGAAAUCAGUCUUAACAUAAGAGGUUCUGAAAAAUAUUUUCCUCUGCAUUGAUGGCAGGUUUUAAACAAAGUAUCAUGAAAUUGAUAUCAAAAUCAGUGCAAUAAUAAAAGAUAUACUCACAUUAUGCUAGCCUGAUCGGUCACCACUUUCAACUUAAACUAAGGGCUUAAAUCCUAUAAUUUCUUGUAUCGAAAGCC
This 2104-nucleotide long non-coding RNA is filed under the name Ricinus communis (castor bean). RNAcentral's name for it is "long non-coding RNA (RCOM_LNC002731)". Lineage: Eukaryota; Viridiplantae; Streptophyta; Magnoliopsida; Malpighiales; Euphorbiaceae. The record is from RNAcentral.